Molecule: long non-coding RNA, 291 nt
Organism: Sphaeramia orbicularis (orbiculate cardinalfish)
Lineage: Eukaryota; Metazoa; Chordata; Actinopteri; Kurtiformes; Apogonidae
Exons: 3
Source: RefSeq, a predicted model, not a curated record
CUACUCACUAGUAAUUAUUGGCUUGAAGUCAGUGGUCUUCAGGAUGUUAUUUUCCAAGCACAUAAGUGAAAGCCAGUUCAAACGAUGCUGCCCCAUUGUGCUACAAAGCAGACUUUUUAUAAGUUUCAGUCUUGAAAAAGAACAUUCUCCUAUAAGUUGGUCACCGUCAUGCAUAUGAACACUUACAGUGUAAUUUCAACAUUUGGGAAUACAGAUUUCAAAUUGUUGGAAAUAAUUUAUCUGUACAAAUUCAAGUCAAAAAAAAAAAAAUCUGUAAAAUGAUUACAAAAU